CGAUAUCGUGAUUCCGACUAUCAGAAACCUCGAUUUCCUCGAGAUGUGGAGGCCUUUUCUUCAGCCUUACCAUCUGAUCAUCGUCCAGGACGGAGAUCCUUCGAAGAAGAUCCAUGUCCCUGAAGGCUACGACUAUGAGCUCUACAACAGGAACGACAUUAACCGGAUCCUCGGGCCUAAAGCUUCUUGUAUCUCGUUUAAGGAUUCUGCUUGUCGGUGCUUUGGGUAUAUGGUGUCUAAGAAGAAGUAUAUCUUCACCAUUGAUGACGAUUGCUUCGUAAGUUACUCGAAUUUUGAGAUUUUGUUCUCGCUUUUAUGCUUGAUUUGAGUUUCGUCAAUUUUGGUUCUAGAUCUGUGUUUUUUUAGCUUAUUUGUUUGUGUUUGUGUGAAUUUUUCAAGUUCGUUGCUUGAAUUUCGUAGAUUUGGUGAGAGAUCAAGUCAACGAUUCACUAAAUUUGACGGAUCUUAGGUUUGUGAGAUAAUCCUAGGUCAAUUGGGCAAUUCAAUGUUUUGUACCAGAUCCAUAGAUCCACUUGAUGAGUCCUGGAUAUGUUUUCACUCGAGUGUAAUUAGCCAUGAUCUCUAAUGUUUACGUGUGAGCUGAUGUCACUUUUGUUGACGACAUUGUUGUUGAGCUGAUAUCUCUGUGUCAUUAUAGCUACCUUUACGAUAUGGUUGACUGUCAUUGUUCAUCACUUUUUCUUUGGUUUCACCUUUUUGAGAUUUGUGGGGCAUAUCCAAGGAUGAGUCUCGAUUACGCUUGUGUUUAGUUUUUAAUUUACUGAGCUUUUUUGGAGGAUUUCUUUCAGGUCUUCUAGAUAAUUAUUAAUGGCUUGAUCUGGAUUUUAACCGCUUUUCAUUCAUGUGUUUUCUUUGAUGUGUAUAUGUAGGUUGCCAAGGAUCCAUCUGGCAAAGCAGUAAAUGCUCUUGAGCAACACAUCAAGAACCUUCUCUGCCCAUCGUCUCCCUUUUUCUUCAACACCUUGUAUGAUCCUUACCGUGAAGGUGCUGAUUUCGUCCGUGGAUACCCUUUCAGU
RNAcentral lists this long non-coding RNA (1037 nucleotides) under Arabidopsis lyrata. Its description in RNAcentral is "long non-coding RNA (ALYR_LNC001218)". Lineage: Eukaryota; Viridiplantae; Streptophyta; Magnoliopsida; Brassicales; Brassicaceae. The record is from RNAcentral.